UACAGAGGGUGCAAGCGUUAAUCGGAAUUACUGGGCGUAAAGCGUGCGUAGACGGUUAUGUAAGUCAGAUGUGAAAGCCCCGGGCUUAACCUGGGAAUGGCAUUUGAGACUGCAUAGCUAGGGUGCGGAAGAGGGAAGCGGAAUUUCCGGUGUAGCGGUGAAAUGCGUAGAUAUCGGAAGGAACACCAGUGGCGAAAGCGGCUCUCUGGGCCAGCACCGACGUUCAGGCACGAAAGCGUGGGGAGCAAACAGG
This 253-nucleotide ribosomal RNA is filed under the name uncultured bacterium. Its description in RNAcentral is "partial 16S ribosomal RNA". It matches the Rfam family "Bacterial small subunit ribosomal RNA", at positions 524 to 776 of the family's 1533-position model. The record is from RNAcentral.